UACGAAGGGUGCAAGCGUUACUCGGAAUUACUGGGCGUAAAGCGUGCGUAGGUGGUUUGUUAAGUCUGAUGUGAAAGCCCCCGGCUCAACUGGGGAGGGUCAUUCGAUACUGAUCGACUUGAAGGCAGGAGAGGGAAGUGGAAUUCCGGGUGUAGUGGUGAAAUGCGUAGAUAUCCGGAGGAACACCAGUGGCGAAGGCGACUUCCUGGCCUGUUCUUGACGCUGAGGCGCGAAAGCUGGGGGAGCAAACGGG
RNAcentral lists this ribosomal RNA (253 nucleotides) under uncultured bacterium. Its description in RNAcentral is "partial 16S ribosomal RNA". It matches the Rfam family "Bacterial small subunit ribosomal RNA", at positions 524 to 776 of the family's 1533-position model. The record is from RNAcentral.